UUAUGCGAUAACUGGUGUGAAUUGCAGAAUCCCGUGAACCAUCGAGUCUUUGAACGCAAGUUGCGCCCGAUGCCAUUAGGUUGAGGGCACGUCUGCCUGGGUGUCACAUAUUGAAGCCUCCUGCCAAUUUCCUUUUGACAGGUAUUGUGCAGGGUGGAUGUUGGCCUCCCGUGAGCUCUCUUUCGUCUCAUGGUUGGUUGAAAAUUGAGACCUUGGUAGGGUGUGCCAUGAUAAAUGGUGGUUGUGUGACCCACGAGACCAAUCAUGUGUUGCUCUAUUGAAUUUGGGCUCUUUUACCCAUUUGCGUUUCUAAACGCUCGUGAUGAGACCUCAGGUCAGGCGGGGCUACCCGCUGAAUUUAAGCAUAUCAAUAAGCGGAGGAAAAGAAACUAACAAGGAUUCCCUUAGUAACGGCGAGCGAACCGGGAUAAGCCCACCAUGAGAAUCGAUCGCCCUCGGCGUUCGAAUUGUAGUCUGANAAAGCGUCAA
This 489-nucleotide ribosomal RNA is filed under the name Lathyrus oleraceus (garden pea). Its description in RNAcentral is "eukaryotic LSU rRNA". The stretch from base 326 to 489 matches the Rfam family "Eukaryotic large subunit ribosomal RNA", at positions 1 to 164 of the family's 3401-position model. The record is from RNAcentral. Lineage: Eukaryota; Viridiplantae; Streptophyta; Magnoliopsida; Fabales; Fabaceae.